UACGUAGGGUGCAAGCGUUGUCCGGAAUUAUUGGGCGUAAAGAGCUCGUAGGCGGCUUGUCACGUCUGCUGUGAAAACUCGGGGCUCAACCCCGAGCCUGCAGUGGAUACGGGCUAGCUAGAGUGCGGUAGGGGAGACUGGAAUUCCUGGUGUAGCGGUGAAAUGCGCAGAUAUCAAGCGGAACACCGGUGGCGAAGGCGGCCUUCUGGACAGUGACUGACGCUGAGAUGCGAAAGCGUGGGGAGCAAACAGG
This 253-nucleotide ribosomal RNA is filed under the name uncultured bacterium. Its description in RNAcentral is "partial 16S ribosomal RNA". It matches the Rfam family "Bacterial small subunit ribosomal RNA", at positions 524 to 776 of the family's 1533-position model. The record is from RNAcentral.